CCUGGUCUUGACAUCCACAGAACUUACCAGAGAUGGCUUGGUGCCUUCGGGAACUGUGAGACAGGUGCUGCAUGGCUGUCGUCAGCUCGUGUUGUGAAAUGUUGGGUUAAGUCCCGCAACGAGCGCAACCCUUAUCCUUUGUUGCCAGCGGUCCGGCCGGGAACUCAAAGGAGACUGCCAGUGAUAAACUGGAGGAAGGUGGGGAUGACGUCAAGUCAUCAUGGCCCUUACGACCAGGGCUACACACGUGCUACAAUGGCGCAUACAAAGAGAAGCGACCUCGCGAGAGCAAGCGGACCUCAUAAAGUGCGUCGUAGUCCGGAUUGGAGUCUGCAACUCGACUCCAUGAAGUCGGAAUCGCUAGUAAUCGUGAAUCAGAAUGUACACGGUGAAUA
This 395-nucleotide ribosomal RNA is filed under the name Enterobacter sp. SV42. Its description in RNAcentral is "bacterial SSU rRNA". It matches the Rfam family "Bacterial small subunit ribosomal RNA", at positions 974 to 1368 of the family's 1533-position model. Lineage: Bacteria; Pseudomonadati; Pseudomonadota; Gammaproteobacteria; Enterobacterales; Enterobacteriaceae. The record is from RNAcentral.